UUUGACAGCAACGCUAAACACUCAAAUUUCAAACCAAACUUUCCAAAAGCACUUUUUCAUAGAAUUUUUUAAAAACAUUGCCAAACUAGCCCUUAACUAGUGGCAUGACAUUAUAUUAUCAUAUUUAAUUUAUUAAAUUAUCUUUAUUAAAUUAAAGUUUGCAUUCACGUACUUUAACAUUUUGCAAUAUUAUUUGCAUUAAAUAUUUAAUAAUAUUUAAGUUGAUAAAUUUUAAAUUUCAUAAUUUUAAUUGUCUACAAAAGUGUUUCAAAUUUAUCAUGUAAUAUAUAUGUAUGUUUUUUAGAUGAAAAAUUACAGUUAACAUUUCAAAUGAAAAAUUACAC
RNAcentral lists this long non-coding RNA (344 nucleotides) under Gossypium barbadense (sea-island cotton). RNAcentral describes it as "long non-coding RNA (GBAR_LNC012032)". The record is from RNAcentral. Lineage: Eukaryota; Viridiplantae; Streptophyta; Magnoliopsida; Malvales; Malvaceae.